CACGUAGGGACCAAGCGUUGUCCGGAUUCAUUGGGCGUAAAGGGCUCGUAGGCGGUUUGUCGCGUCGGGAGUGAAAACACCGGGCUUAACUCGGUGCUUGCUUUCGAUACGGGCAGACUAGAGGUAUGCAGGGGAGAACGGAAUUCCUGGUGUAGCGGUGAAAUGCGCAGAUAUCAGGAGGAACACCGGUGGCGAAGGCGGUUCUCUGGGCAUUACCUGACGCUGAGGAGCGAAAGUGUGGGGAGCGAACAGG
RNAcentral lists this ribosomal RNA (253 nucleotides) under uncultured bacterium. RNAcentral's name for it is "partial 16S ribosomal RNA". It matches the Rfam family "Bacterial small subunit ribosomal RNA", at positions 524 to 776 of the family's 1533-position model. The record is from RNAcentral.